CCUACGGGAGGCUGCAGUGGGGAAUAUUGGACAAUGGGGGGAACCCUGAUCCAGCCAUGCCGCGUGUGUGAAGAAGGCCCUCGGGUUGUAAAGCACUUUCAGUGAGGAAGAACGCCUGGUGGUUAAUACCCAUGAGGAAAGACAUCACUCACAGAAGAAGCACCGGCUAACUCCGUGCCAGCAGCCGCGGUAAUACGGAGGGUGCGAGCGUUAAUCGGAAUUACUGGGCGUAAAGCGCGCGUAGGUGGCUUGAUAAGCCGGUUGUGAAAGCCCCGGGCUCAACCUGGGAACGGCAUCCGGAACUGUCAAGCUAGAGUGCAGGAGAGGAAGGUAGAAUUCCCGGUGUAGCGGUGAAAUGCGUAGAGAUCGGGAGGAAUACCAGUGGCGAAGGCGGCCUUCUGGACUGACACUGACACUGAGGUGCGAAAGCGUGGGUAGCAAACAGGAUUAGAUACCCCGGUAGUC
RNAcentral lists this ribosomal RNA (465 nucleotides) under Vreelandella stevensii. RNAcentral describes it as "partial 16S ribosomal RNA". It matches the Rfam family "Bacterial small subunit ribosomal RNA", at positions 338 to 795 of the family's 1533-position model. The record is from RNAcentral. Lineage: Bacteria; Pseudomonadati; Pseudomonadota; Gammaproteobacteria; Oceanospirillales; Halomonadaceae.